AUUGUAUCUCCUUCUAUCCUAGAAUUCAACAAAACUAGUUUUUUCGUCAUUAUUUGAACUAAGAAGUAGAUUAAUCAUUAAUGUCUAUGUUAAUUCUAUCCCUUUUUCUAGCUUUCCCGACUUUCCUUUCUAGCUCAGGUCCUUAUUUCCUCUCUUUCAGCCAGAUUCCCAUUCCAUCAGGAAUCCAAAUGAGACUCAGAACAAUAGCACAAGCUGGCCUGUCUUCAAAAGCACUGAACAAAAAUAUCUAACCUUGAAUACAGAGUCAACAAGAAUAAUGACGAAACUACGUGCUCAACAAUGUCGAUUCUGGACAUCAUUUUUUCCAAAAGUCUUGGAAAUGACAGGAAAUAUUGAUGAAGCAGAAUGGGAGUGGAAAGCAGGAUUCCAUCGCUGGAACAAUUACAUGAUGGACUGGAAAAAUCAAUUUAACGAUUACACUAGCAAGAAAGAAAGUUGUGUGGGUCUCUAAUUAAUAGAUUUACCCUUUAUAGAACAUAUUUUCCUUUAGAUCAAGGCAAAAAUAUCAGGAGCUUUUUUACACACCUACUAAAAAAGUUAUUAUGUAGCUGAAACAAAAAUGCCAGAAGGAUAAUAUUGAUUCCUCACAUCUUUAACUUAGUAUUUUACCUAGCAUUUCAAAACCCAAAUGGCUAGAACGUGUUUAAUUAAAUUUCACAAUAUAAAGUUCUACAGUUAAUUAUGUGCAUAUUAAAACAAUGGCCUGGUUCAAUUUCUUUCUUUCCUUAAUAAAUUUAAGUUUUUCCCCCCAAAA
RNAcentral lists this long non-coding RNA (775 nucleotides) under Homo sapiens (human). RNAcentral describes it as "HSALNT0063632". The record is from RNAcentral. Lineage: Eukaryota; Metazoa; Chordata; Mammalia; Primates; Hominidae.